This 253-nucleotide ribosomal RNA is filed under the name uncultured bacterium. RNAcentral describes it as "partial 16S ribosomal RNA". It matches the Rfam family "Bacterial small subunit ribosomal RNA", at positions 524 to 776 of the family's 1533-position model. The record is from RNAcentral.
UACGUAGGGGGCAAGCGUUGUCCGGAAUUACUGGGCGUAAAGGGCGCGUAGGCGGUCCGAUAAGUCCUGUGUGAAAUCCCUCGGCUCAACUGAGGAACUGCACGGGAGACUGUCGGGCUUGAGUUCGGGAGAGGGAAGCGGAAUUCCGGGUGUAGCGGUGAAAUGCGUAGAUAUCUGGAGGAACACCGGUGGCGAAGGCGGCAUCCUGGACCGGCAUUGACGCUGAGGCGCGAAAGCCAGGGGAGCAAACGGG